UGAGGAACAUGACUUUCGGCGGGGGAUAGCCGGCCCAACGGCCGGGUAAUACCGCGUACAACCUUCCGGGGACAUCCCUGGAUGGUGAAAGCAGCAAUGCGCCGAUGGAGUGCCUCGCGGCCUAUCAGCUAGUUGGUGAGGUAACGCUCACAAGGCGACGACGGGUANCUGGUCUGAGAGGAUGGCCAGCCACAGUUGGGACUGACGACGACCGGCCCAAGUACCUCCGUAACGGGGAGCAG
RNAcentral lists this ribosomal RNA (242 nucleotides) under uncultured bacterium. RNAcentral's name for it is "partial 16S ribosomal RNA". It matches the Rfam family "Bacterial small subunit ribosomal RNA", at positions 118 to 351 of the family's 1533-position model. The record is from RNAcentral.